Long non-coding RNA from Solanum dulcamara, 815 nucleotides. RefSeq lists it as uncharacterized. The record is from RefSeq and is a predicted model, not a curated record. NCBI's taxonomy places the organism in Eukaryota, Viridiplantae, Streptophyta, Magnoliopsida, Solanales, Solanaceae. The transcript has 2 exons.
CCUCAAAUUCCCUAAUUUUUGGACUCUCUCUUUCUCACAGCCGACCUCCCUCUUCUCUCUUCUUCAUCUCUUUCUUCCUACCAAAAACCACCAUUGAGGCACUCCCUCACCACACAGAACCACCAACAAAGACCAAGAUCAACAGCGCCGGCGAGGUCAUCUUCCUCACGUCGUCUAACACCACCUUCAUCGUGUCAGUUUUUCGAUCUGAGCUCCGAUUGUCAUGUUACCGGAGCUUCACGUUAGCAGCAGCAACAAUGGAGCGGGCGACCUCCACGGUCUAGCAUCCCGCCUCCACAGUCGCGCCGCUGCUACUUCUCCUUCGAACAACACCACCAAACGACCCCUGACGCCCUGCUCUCAUCUCUCUCUCCACAGAAAACAACAAAACCAAACAACGACGACACCACAACUGUCCAGGCCUGACCAACGAGACUAUUGAGGCCGAGUUUGUUUUGUCAAAAACCGAUAUUGUUCGGAUACUUGUAAGUUGAGGAUGUUUAAUUUGGAGCAACUAAAGAGAAGAGCUGCCUUUGUCCUUAUUGAUGGUGUGGGUGAUGUCUCUCUGUCAAGAUUUGUUUAUAAAAUUCCACUUCAAUUGGCCAAAUAUCAGAUCAUUCUUGCUAAAGACGGAUCUUACAGAUCUGUCCAGAGUUUGGACUUCAAAGUUCAAGACAUGAAGAGCUCAUUUGGAACAGGAUUCGGAUAGUUUUAGUUCUUGUUUUAUUAUUUCUAUUUGUCUAUUAUUCUUUCUUAAUUAUUUUUGGCUUGUAAUAAUAAAUUUUGUAUAUAAUAAAAAGGAGAAAAUACACGGA